Molecule: ribosomal RNA, 166 nt
Filed under: Syzygium cumini (Java plum)
Lineage: Eukaryota; Viridiplantae; Streptophyta; Magnoliopsida; Myrtales; Myrtaceae
Description: 5.8S ribosomal RNA
Rfam family: 5.8S ribosomal RNA
About the family: 5.8S ribosomal RNA (5.8S rRNA) is a component of the large subunit of the eukaryotic ribosome. It is transcribed by RNA polymerase I as part of the 45S precursor that also contains 18S and 28S rRNA. Functionally, it is thought that 5.8S rRNA may be involved in ribosome translocation.
Source: RNAcentral
AUAACGACUCUCGGCAACGGAUAUCUCGGCUCUCGCAUCGAUGAAGAACGUAGCGAACUGCGAUACUUGGUGUGAAUUGCAGAAUCCCGUGAAACCAUCGAGUCUUUGAACGCAAGUUGCGCCCGAAGCCAUUUGGCCGAGGGCACGUUUGCCUGGGUGUCACACG